Molecule: ribosomal RNA, 637 nt
Filed under: uncultured bacterium
Lineage: Bacteria
Description: bacterial SSU rRNA
Rfam family: Bacterial small subunit ribosomal RNA
Source: RNAcentral
GCUCAACCGAGGAAGUGCUUCGAAAACUGGUAGACUUGAGUGCAGAAGAGGAAAGUGGAACUCCAUGUGUAGCGGUGGAAUGCGUAGAUAUAUGGAAGAACACCAGUGGCGAAGGCGGCUUUCUGGUCUGUAACUGACGCUGAGAUUCGAAAGCAUGGGUAGCAAACAGGAUUAGAUACCCUGGUAGUCCAUGCCGUAAACGAUGAGUGCUAAGUGUUGGAGGGUUUCCGCCCUUCAGUGCUGCAGCUAACGCAUUAAGCACUCCGCCUGGGGAGUACGAUCGCAAGUUUGAAACUCAAAGGAAUUGACGGGGGCCCGCACAAGCGGUGGAGCAUGUGGUUUAAUUCGAAGCAACGCGAAGAACCUUACCAGGUCUUGACAUACCAUGAAAAGCUAAGAGAUUAGUCUUUCCCUUCGGGGACAUGGAUACAGGUGGUGCAUGGUUGUCGUCAGCUCGUGUCGUGAGAUGUUGGGUUAAGUCCCGCAACGAGCGCAACCCUUAUUAUCAGUUGCCAGCAUUCAGUUGGGCACUCUGGUGAGACUGCCGGUGACAAACCGGAGGAAGGUGGGGACGACGUCAAAUCAUCAUGCCCCUUAUGACCUGGGCUACACACGUGCUACAAUGGUCGGUACAACG